Long non-coding RNA from Anolis carolinensis (green anole), 1915 nucleotides. The record is from Ensembl. Lineage: Eukaryota; Metazoa; Chordata; Lepidosauria; Squamata; Anolidae.
CCUUUCUAAGUGCUUGCAGACCACAUCCUCAAUGUUUUCCAGAAUCUUGCCUGGUAUCGACAUAAGGCUGACUGGACAGUAAUUGUUUGGGUCGUCUUUUUUUCCCUUCUUGAAGAUAGGGAUCACAUUUGCCCUCCUCCAAUCCACUGGGACUUCGCCUGUUCUCCAAGAACUCUAAAAGAUGAUUGCCAGUGGUUCUGAAAUAACUUCCUCUUGUUCCUUCAAUACUCUUGGAUGUAGAUGAUCCAGCCCUGGAGACUUGAAUUCGUUUAGAGGGGCCAGGUGUUCCUGGAUAACUUGUUAUGGUAAAUGCACAGCAGCCAUUUUCUUUUACUCCAAAAUCCACAAGGAAAAAAUGGCAAUGGAGGCAGCAUAUGGAAAACAGACAAGCCCACCUCGAGCCAGUGACCUACCAGCCUUGGAACAAGACAAACACCAAAAGACCUAAGGAUGUGCAAUGGUGAUCAAGCUGAACUGAAAGAAGGAAUGCAUUACUUGAUUGGGUGAAACCUCAUUCAUGUUUCCUUUCUUGUCUAAUUAAAAGAAAAAGUGCUGCAGCCCCCUGAACCACAUAUUCUGUUCAUCGAGUGAGUGCAUGAAUGAAAGAUUAGAUGAAGUGUAUAAGUAGCUUGAAAUAAUGACCCCAUUUAUUGUUACUGAGCAAAUAAUGAGAUGUCUGCAGUGGCCAUGAUUUUACAUCAACCUCACCAGUUACCCAAGGUUCCAUAGCAUUGUGAAUGUUAACACCCAGGUAAAAGCCAUAAAACAGGAAAUACUGCCCUCUGUCUCUUCUGUAGGGAAGAAGAACAAGGUUUUAAUUCAUCUUCAUCUCUUCCUAGAGAACUGCAUUGGAUCGGAUGCAAUCCCUGCUGCUGAGUUGCUUACCUCCUCCAAGGUUCUUUAACCUGUCUGGCUUCCCAGGCUGAGGCUAGCAGCAUCCUAUCACCCAAGGUUUCAGAGCCAAACUUCUUAUAUAUGCUUUUGAUGUCAUAGAAACAAAGAUUGGGAAGGGCAGGAAUUAAUUCUAUUCCAGGAACCACCUUUAAUUGCAGAAAUCUAGCCCUAACCGUCCAUCUGAUGGCAAGCAGUACUUUUGGAAGAUUACUCUUUGGAAAUUUGAGUUGUGAGGUCCUACAUUCCACUUUGCCAUUCACUAUUUAGCAUUGAUAUGACCUCAGAAUUUUGGGAUAUCACCAACUCCACAUGCCUAUGUUACAUUGCUUUUCUUUUGUUACUGUAGCACAUUAUCAUCAAAAUCUGUUCUGAACUUCACUGCUUGGGACCUACAUUCAUCCUUACGCUAAUCUGCUGAAAGAGAAAGAUCUAUUCAGACUUUUCUCAGACAUACAUGAAAGCAACAAUAACAAAAGUUAGAAGGUUUCAUCGUCUGUGGCAUUCUAAUUAUGAAAUUACUUCUGCACAGAGCAUCCACUGCAUUAUGUUUCAGUUCUUAGAGAAAAAGUUCUCUCAAGCCUUUUGAUGGUCUGCAUUUUAAAAUGCUGAAGACAUGCUAUAUUUUAAACCCUGCUCAUUGAAUGAACAGCUUAUUGUGCUACUUGCUUAUUGAUUAUAAUUGAUUUAUUUUAUAUUUUGUUGCUGUCAUUUUUGUUUUAACUAACAUUCUAAAUCAUCCUGGGAUAGAUAUUAUGAAGGCACUGCAUAAAUGAAUGCAGAAACCAUUGAAAUUUGUCUUUAUGCUGGAAAAGGGGUGGCAUGUCAGAAUAAAAACAAAUGCAUGCAUUUUUUUCUAGCUGGACUGCUUCCCAUUUUCCAAACACUAACAUAUGGCCUGUGGGAAUGACACCAAUGACUUUUAUUAAUAUUGACUGGCAUUUAGUAUACAGUUACACAGUUACAGAUUUGUCACCUCACGUAAUGGAUCCUUAAUUGCUCUGUAUCAGUAAAACUACAUGGC